GAUGAAGAACGUAGCGAAAUGCGAUAACUAAUGUGAAUUGCAGAAUUCAGUGAAUCAGCGAGUCUUUGAACGCACAUUGCGCCCCCUGGUAUUCCGGGGGGCAUGCCUGUCCGAGCGUCAUUGCUGCCCUCAAGCACGGCUUGUGUGUUGGGCUCCGUCCCCCCGGGGACGGGCCCGAAAGGCAGCGGCGGCACCGAGUCCGGUCCUCGAGCGUAUGGGGCUUUGUCACCCGCUCUGUAGGCCCGGCCGGCGCCAGCCGACAACCCAUCAUCCUUUUCAGGUUGACCUCGGAUCAGGUAGGGAUACCCGCUGAACUUAAGCAUAUCAAUAAGCGGAGGA
Molecule: unclassified non-coding RNA, 339 nt
Filed under: soil metagenome
Description: partial contains 5.8S ribosomal RNA, internal transcribed spacer 2, and large subunit ribosomal RNA
Rfam family: 5.8S ribosomal RNA (bases 1-120)
Source: RNAcentral